AGCAGUCGCCACGGUAAUACGCAGGUGGCGAGCGUUGUCCGGAAUUAUUGGGCGUAAAGGGAGCGCAGGCGGACAUAUAAGUCCAUCUUAAAAGUGCGGGGCUCAACCCCGUGAGGGGAUGGAAACUGUAUGCCUUGAGUGCAGGAGAGGAAAGCGGAAUUCCCAGUGUAGCGGUGAAAUGCGUAGAUAUUGGGAGGAACACCAGUGGCGAAGGCGGCUUUCUGGACUGUAACUGACGCUGAGGCUCGAAAGCCAGGGGAGCGAACGGGAUUAGAUACCCGAGUAGUCCCUGUCUCUUAUACC
RNAcentral lists this ribosomal RNA (303 nucleotides) under uncultured bacterium. RNAcentral describes it as "partial 16S ribosomal RNA". It matches the Rfam family "Bacterial small subunit ribosomal RNA", at positions 507 to 808 of the family's 1533-position model. The record is from RNAcentral.